GCACAGAGAAGCUUGCUUCUUCGGGUGGCGAGUGGCGAACGGGUGAGUAACAUAUCGGAACGUACCGAGUAAUGGGGGAUAACUAAUCGAAAGAUUAGCUAAUAACCGCAUAUUCUCUGAGGAGGAAAGCAGGGGACCUUCGGGCCUUGCGUUAUUCGAGCGGCCGAUAUCUGAUUAGCUAGUUGGUGGGGUAAAGGCCUACCAAGGCGACGAUCAGUAGCGGGUCUGAGAGGAUGAUCCGCCACACUGGGACUGAGACACGGCCCAGACUCCUACGGGAGGCAGCAGUGGGGAAUUUUGGACAAUGGGCGCAAGCCUGAUCCAGCCAUGCCGCGUGUCUGAAGAAGGCCUUCGGGUUGUAAAGGACUUUUGUCAGGGAAGAAAAGGCUGUUGCUAAUAUCGACAGCUGAUGACGGUACCUGAAGAAUAAGCACCGGCUAACUACGUG
This 448-nucleotide ribosomal RNA is filed under the name uncultured bacterium. Its description in RNAcentral is "bacterial SSU rRNA". It matches the Rfam family "Bacterial small subunit ribosomal RNA", at positions 69 to 507 of the family's 1533-position model. The record is from RNAcentral.